Molecule: ribosomal RNA, 253 nt
Filed under: uncultured bacterium
Lineage: Bacteria
Description: partial 16S ribosomal RNA
Rfam family: Bacterial small subunit ribosomal RNA
Source: RNAcentral
UACGUAGGGCGCAAGCGUUGUCCGGAAUUAUUGGGCGUAAAGAGCUCGUAGGCGGCCUGUCGCGUCCGCUGUGAAAUCCCGGGGCUCAACCCCGGGCCUGCAGUGGGUACGGGCAGACUAGAGUGUGGUAGGGGAGAUCGGAAUUCCUGGUGUAGCGGUGGAAUGCGCAGAUAUCAGGAGGAACACCGGUGGCGAAGGCGGAUCUCUGGGCCAUAACUGACGCUGAGGAGCGAAAGCAUGGGGAGCGAACAGG